AUGUCAUCAAUGCAAACAAAUGUUCUCUGUGUUUACCCUGGGCAGGGUCAGGCUGUGCACAGCCUUGCACAGAGCUUGGACAAAAAGCAAGGAUGCUUCCUGUGUGACUUACUUAAACUGUGUCAAAGGGAAAACUAUUUGCUUUGUGACAGCAGAAAUUAUAUAAGAAGGAGAACACACGCAGACAGUGGAGGUAUCUCAAUGUAUUCAGGCUGUAAACAACACGAGGUAUUUAUAACUCAAUUCAGAGUGGCUCAGAUCUGUCACAGCAUGAAGAUAAACCAAUUCUCAGAGGGAGAUGCUGUCACCAGCAUGAUUUCCUUGCGAUAACAGGUGAGGCUACAGGCAUACUUGUGUAGAGCCAUCAUUGCUAAGUUAUUUUUUACUCAUAGUCCAUUUUAUAUGUUUACCUCUAGUCUUUGUACUCAGCCUUUAUAUUUGGUCUAUUAUAUUUAUAAAAAUUAAUGUUCUGUUUGAAUGUAUGCUUCCAAAGAGAAGAUUAUAUUUUAAUUUAUGCUUAAAGCCUUAUGUCUGUCUUUAAUAUUGUAUUAAUAAUAAAGGGGUUUGACAUUUACCUUAAAUUAUUAGU
Molecule: long non-coding RNA, 589 nt
Filed under: Cyanistes caeruleus (blue tit)
Lineage: Eukaryota; Metazoa; Chordata; Aves; Passeriformes; Paridae
Description: lncRNA (ENSCCEG00000014718.1)
Source: RNAcentral